Molecule: ribosomal RNA, 497 nt
Filed under: uncultured bacterium
Lineage: Bacteria
Description: partial 16S ribosomal RNA
Rfam family: Bacterial small subunit ribosomal RNA
Source: RNAcentral
GAUGAACGCUGGCGGCGUGCCUAAUACAUGCAAGUCGAGCGAACAGAUGAGGAGCUUGCUCCUCUGACGUUAGCGGCGGAAGGGUGAGUAACACGUGGAUAACCUACCUAUAAGACUGGGAUAACUUCGGGAAACCGGAGCUAAUACCGGAUAAUAUAUUGAACCGCAUGGUUCAAUAGUGAAAGACGGUUUUGCUGUCACUUAUAGAUGGAUCCGCGCCGCAUUAGCUAGUUGGUAAGGUAACGGCUUACCAAGGCAACGAUGCGUAGCCGACCUGAGAGGGUGAUCGGCCACACUGGAACUGGGACACGGUCCAGACUCCUACGGGAGGCAGCAGUAGGGAAUCUUCCGCAAUGGGCGAAAGCCUGACGGAGCAACGCCGCGUGAGUGAUGAAGGUCUUCGGAUCGUAAAACACUGUUAUUAGGGAGGAACAAAUGUGUAAGUAACUAUGCACGACUUGACGGUACCUAAUCAGAAAGCCACGGCUAACUACGUG